This 566-nucleotide long non-coding RNA is filed under the name Sparus aurata (gilthead seabream). RNAcentral describes it as "lncRNA (ENSSAUG00010005203.1)". The record is from RNAcentral. Lineage: Eukaryota; Metazoa; Chordata; Actinopteri; Spariformes; Sparidae.
AGAAUGUCCAGGCGUUCCCCUUUUACAUGCCUCAGGUUACUUUAAAUAGUUUAAAUCAAUAAAGAUGAAUGCUACAGUUUAUUUUCUGUGAUAACUGUUCCUCCCCAUCAUAAAUCAUUCUUCAACCUUUCAUUCAGUUUGCUGAGUGCAUUUUGGACGGUUCUCCGCUGGAGUUUCAUGAAUCACCUUCCAGCUUUAAUGCGAUUCGACGGGAGAUUGCAGUCUGUCUUCUGGAGAAUACAGAUGACUUGACUGACCUUUGUCAUCUCUGCAGGAUGGCGACACUCACUGAGUAACUGCUGAUGUUUUACAUGUUCAGCUUAAAGGAUGAUCACCACAAGGCAACAUUGCAUCACUAUCUCACCAUAAUAUUUUAGUUUUGUCUUUUGUCCAUUCAGAUUGGCUGCUGUGCCCUCGAUGGUUUCACAGGAGCUGUGCCAAGAGACCAGACCCAGAGGAUGCAAACAUUUUUCUGCCUCGCAUGCCAGUAAUAAAAUGUAUUAUUAAAAUGUUUUAAUAUUAUUUUGUUCUGAGGCUGUUUUUGUUGCAAUAUUUGAUUUUCCCGG